AGUGAACGCUGGCGGUAGGCCUAACACAUGCAAGUCGAACGGCAGCACAGUAAGAGCUUGCUCUUACGGGUGGCGAGUGGCGGACGGGUGAGGAAUACAUCGGAAUCUACUUUUUCGUGGGGGAUAACGUAGGGAAACUUACGCUAAUACCGCAUACGACCUCCGGGGGAAAGCAGGGGAUCUUCGGACCUUGCGCGAUUGAAUGAGCCGAUGUCGGAUUAGCUAGUUGGCGGGGUAAAGGCCCACCAAGGCGACGAUCCGUAGCUGGUCUGAGAGGAUGAUCAGCCACACUGGAACUGAGACACGGUCCAGACUCCUACGGGAGGCAGCAGUGGGGAAUAUUGGACAAUGGGCGCAAGCCUGAUCCAGCCAUACCGCGUGGGUGAAGAAGGCCUUCGGGUUGUAAAGCCCUUUUGUUGGGAAAGAAAAGCAGCAGGUUAAUACCCCGCUGUUCUGACGGUACCCAAAGAAUAAGCACCGGCUAACUUCGUG
RNAcentral lists this ribosomal RNA (492 nucleotides) under uncultured bacterium. Its description in RNAcentral is "partial 16S ribosomal RNA". It matches the Rfam family "Bacterial small subunit ribosomal RNA", at positions 29 to 507 of the family's 1533-position model. The record is from RNAcentral.